CGCGCAGGCGGCCUGAUCAGUCAGAUGUGAAAGCCCACGGCUUAACUGUGGAAGUGCAUUUGAAACUGUCAGGCUUGAGUACCAGAGGGGAAAGUGGAAUUCCCGGUGUAGAGGUGAAAUUCGUAGAUAUCGGGAGGAAUACCGGUGGCGAAGGCGACUUUCUGGCUGGAUACUGACGCUGAGGCGCGAAAGCGUGGGGAGCAAACA
RNAcentral lists this ribosomal RNA (207 nucleotides) under uncultured bacterium. RNAcentral's name for it is "partial 16S ribosomal RNA". It matches the Rfam family "Bacterial small subunit ribosomal RNA", at positions 568 to 774 of the family's 1533-position model. RNAcentral also lists the same sequence under 1 other name. The record is from RNAcentral.